GGGUUGUGAGGUUAAGCGACUAAGCGUACACGGUGGAUGCCACGGCAGUCAGAGGCGAUGAAGGGCGUGCUAAUCUGCGAUAAGCGCCGGUAAGGUGAUAUGAACCGUUAUAACCGGCGAUACCCGAAUGGGGAAACCCAGUGUGAUUCGUCACACUAUCAUUAACUGAAUCCAUAGGUUAAUGAGGCGAACCGGGGAACUGAAACAUCUAAGUACCCCGAGGAAAAGAAAUCAACCGAGAUUCCCCAGUAGCGGCGAGCGAACGGGGAGGAGCCCAGAGCCUGAAUCAGCAUGUGUGUUAGUGGAAGCGUCUGGAAAGGCGCGCGAUACAGGGUGACAGCCCCGUACACAAAAGCGCAUGUGCUGUGAGCUCGAUGAGUAGGGCGGGACACGUGGUAUCCUGUCUGAAUAUGGGGGGACCAUCCUCCAAGGCUAAAUACUCCUGACUGACCGAUAGUGAACCAGUACCGUGAGGGAAAGGCGAAAAGAACCCCGGCGAGGGAGUGAAAAAGAACCUGAAACCGUGUACGUACAAGCAGUGGGAGCACCCUUCGGGGUGUGACUGCGUACCUUUGUAUAAUGGGUCAGCGACUUAUAUUCUGUAGCAAGGUUAACCGUAUAGGGGAGCCGCAGGGAAACCGAGUCUUAACCGGGCGUUAAGUUGCAGGGUAUAGACCCGAAACCCGGUGAUCUAGCCAUGGGCAGGUUGAAGGUUGGGUAACACUAACUGGAGGACCGAACCGACUAAUGUUGAAAAAUUAGCGGAUGACCUGUGGCUGGGGGUGAAAGGCCAAUCAAACCGGGAGAUAGCUGGUUCUCCCCGAAAGCUAUUUAGGUAGCGCCUCGUGAAUUCAUCUCCGGGGGUAGAGCACUGUUUCGGCUAGGGGGCCAUCCCGGCUUACCAACCCGAUGCAAACUGCGAAUACCGGAGAAUGUUAUCACGGGAGACACACGGCGGGUGCUAACGUCCGUCGUGAAGAGGAAACAACCCAGACCGCCAGCUAAGGUCCCAAAGUCAUGGUUAAGUGGGAAACGAUGUGGGAAGGCCCAGACAGCCAGGAUGUUGGCUUAGAAGCAGCCAUCAUUUAAAGAAAGCGUAAUAGCUCACUGGUCGAGUCGGCCUGCGCGGAAGAUGUAACGGGGCUAAACCAUGCACCGAAGCUGCGGCAGCGACGCUUAUGCGUUGUUGGGUAGGGGAGCGUUCUGUAAGCCUGCGAAGGUGGCCUGUGAGGGUUGCUGGAGGUAUCAGAAGUGCGAAUGCUGACAUAAGUAACGAUAAAGCGGGUGAAAAGCCCGCUCGCCGGAAGACCAAGGGUUCCUGUCCAACGUUAAUCGGGGCAGGGUGAGUCGACCCCUAAGGCGAGGCCGAAAGGCGUAGUCGAUGGGAAACGGGUUAAUAUUCCCGUACUUGGUGUUACUGCGAAGGGGGACGGAGAAGGCUAUGUUGGCCGGGCGACGGUUGUCCCGGUUUAAGCGUGUAGGUGUGUGUUCCAGGUAAAUCCGGUUCACUUUAACACUGAGGCGUGACGACGAGGCACUACGGUGCUGAAGCAACAAAUGCCCUGCUUCCGGAAAAGCCUCUAAGCAUCAGGUAACAUCAAAUCGUACCCCAAACCGACACAGGUGGUCAGGUAGAGAAUACCAAGGCGCUUGAGAGAACUCGGGUGAAGGAACUAGGCAAAAUGGUGCCGUAACUUCGGGAGAAGGCACGCUGACACGUAGGUGAAGUGAUUUACUCAUGGAGCUGAAGUCAGUCGAAGAUACCAGCUGGCUGCAACUGUUUAUUAAAAACACAGCACUGUGCAAACACGAAAGUGGACGUAUACGGUGUGACGCCUGCCCGGUGCCGGAAGGUUAAUUGAUGGGGUCAGCGCAAGCGAAGCUCCUGAUCGAAGCCCCGGUAAACGGCGGCCGUAACUAUAACGGUCCUAAGGUAGCGAAAUUCCUUGUCGGGUAAGUUCCGACCUGCACGAAUGGCGUAAUGAUGGCGGCUGUCUCCACCCGAGACUCAGUGAAAUUGAACUCGCUGUGAAGAUGCAGUGUACCCGCGGCAAGACGGAAAGACCCCGUGAACCUUUACUAUAGCUUGACACUGAACAUUGAGCCUUGAUGUGUAGGAUAGGUGGGAGGCUUUGAAGUGUGGACGCCAGUCUGCGUGGAGCCGACCUUGAAAUACCACCCUUUAAUGUUUGAUGUUCUAACGUGGACCCGUGAUCCGGGUUGCGGACAGUGUCUGGUGGGUAGUUUGACUGGGGCGGUCUCCUCCUAAAGAGUAACGGAGGAGCACGAAGGUUGGCUAAUCCUGGUCGGACAUCAGGAGGUUAGUGCAAUGGCAUAAGCCAGCUUGACUGCGAGCGUGACGGCGCGAGCAGGUGCGAAAGCAGGUCAUAGUGAUCCGGUGGUUCUGAAUGGAAGGGCCAUCGCUCAACGGAUAAAAGGUACUCCGGGGAUAACAGGCUGAUACCGCCCAAGAGUUCAUAUCGACGGCGGUGUUUGGCACCUCGAUGUCGGCUCAUCACAUCCUGGGGCUGAAGUAGGUCCCAAGGGUAUGGCUGUUCGCCAUUUAAAGUGGUACGCGAGCUGGGUUUAGAACGUCGUGAGACAGUUCGGUCCCUAUCUGCCGUGGGCGCUGGAGAACUGAGGGGGCUGCUCCUAGUACGAGAGGACCGGAGUGGACGCAUCACUGGUGUUCGGGUUGUCAUGCCAAUGGCACUGCCCGGUAGCUAAAUGCGGAAGAGAUAAGUGCUGAAAGCAUCUAAGCACGAAACUUGCCCCGAGAUGAGUUCUCCCUGAGACUUUAGGUCUCCUGAAGGAACGUUGAAGACGACGACGUUGAUAGGCCGGGUGUGUAAGCGCAGCGAUGCGUUGAGCUAACCGGUACUAAUGAACCGUGAGGCUUAACCUUACAACGCCGAAG
This 2917-nucleotide ribosomal RNA is filed under the name Salmonella enterica subsp. enterica serovar Adjame. RNAcentral describes it as "23S ribosomal RNA". It matches the Rfam family "Bacterial large subunit ribosomal RNA". Lineage: Bacteria; Pseudomonadati; Pseudomonadota; Gammaproteobacteria; Enterobacterales; Enterobacteriaceae. The record is from RNAcentral.